AUACGGAGGGUCCGAGCGUUAUCCGGAAUCAUUGGGUUUAAAGGGUCCGUAGGCGGGAAUCUAAGUCAGUGGUGAAAUCUUGUAGCUUAACUGUAAAAUUGCCAUUGAUACUGGAUUUCUUGAAUUAGUGUGAAGUGGUUAGAAUGUGUAGUGUAGCGGUGAAAUGCAUAGAUAUUACACAGAAUACCAAUUGCGAAGGCAGAUCACUAACACUAUAUUGACGCUAAGGGACGAAAGCGUGGGGAGCGAACAGGAUUAGAAACCCCGGUAGUCC
This 274-nucleotide ribosomal RNA is filed under the name uncultured bacterium. Its description in RNAcentral is "partial 16S ribosomal RNA". It matches the Rfam family "Bacterial small subunit ribosomal RNA", at positions 523 to 796 of the family's 1533-position model. The record is from RNAcentral.